Molecule: ribosomal RNA, 453 nt
Filed under: Antarctophiline alata
Lineage: Eukaryota; Metazoa; Mollusca; Gastropoda; Cephalaspidea; Antarctophilinidae
Description: partial large subunit ribosomal RNA
Rfam family: Bacterial large subunit ribosomal RNA
Source: RNAcentral
CGCCUGUUUAUCAAAAACAUAGCCCUAAGAAUUUAUUUAGGGUGAAGCCUGCCCAAUGAGUUUUUAAUGGCCGCGGUACUCUGACCGUGCUAAGGUAGCAUAAUCAAUUGACUUUUGAAUGAAGUCUGGAAUGAAGGGAAWAACGGGGCUUAGCUGUCUCUAUUUUUYUAUUUUAAAGUUACUAAUUAGGUGAAAAGGCCUAAAUAAGAUAAUAGACGAGAAGACCCUUAGAGCUUUNUAUAUAUUUUCGUUGGGGCGACGAAGGGUUAARNURAACACCCUUGUUAWYAUAMAAAGGGUUMACCAUARGMAGAUAAGCUACCUGAGGGAUAACAGCAUAAUCUUUUUUAGGUUUGUGACCUCGAUGUUGGACUAGGGAACUUUUAGGUUAGCCGCUUAAAGGAAUAAUUCUGUUCGAAUAUUACCCCCUACGUGAUCUGAGUUCAGACCGGA